This 24-nucleotide non-coding RNA is filed under the name Cricetulus griseus (Chinese hamster). Lineage: Eukaryota; Metazoa; Chordata; Mammalia; Rodentia; Cricetidae. The record is from RNAcentral.
CGAAAUGCUGACUGUAGAGAUCCC